Molecule: RNA transcript, 1180 nt
Organism: Amaranthus tricolor (Joseph's coat)
Lineage: Eukaryota; Viridiplantae; Streptophyta; Magnoliopsida; Caryophyllales; Amaranthaceae
Exons: 4
Source: RefSeq, a predicted model, not a curated record
ACCUCCCCCAUCCGGCAUGAAAGAAGAGCGAGACAGCGAGUGAGCGAACAAAGGACUACACUCCAAACUCCAGACUCCAAACUCCAAUCUCCCGUCGUCCUACUUUCUACCUGAUCAACCGUCAAACCAAACGUCCAAAUUCGAGCCAACCACAACUCAGAAACGAUGAAAUUCACAGACUCUCCAGUGAUCGAACUCACCGUUUGUAAUACUACCCUCUCUCUCCAACAAGACAAUGGUUCCAUGCACGUCGGCACUUCCGUUUGGCCUUGUUCUCUCGUUCUCGUCAAAUUCAUCGACCGUUGGUCUCCAAUUAACCCCAAAACCCAAAACCCUAAUCCAUACUCCGAUCUCCUCAAUUUCUGCAACAAACGCGGCGUUGAAUUAGGCGCUGGAUGCGGGGCUGCAGGAAUGGGUCUUUUUCUCUUAGGCCUUAGGGAUGUUGUUCUUACCGAUAUAGCCCCUGUUAUGCCCGCCUUAAAGCAUAACUUGAAGAAGAAUAAGCCAGUACUGAAGAAAUCCUUGAAGAGGGCUCAGUUGUAUUGGGCUAAUUCGGCACAAAUCCAGGCCCUUUCGCCUCCCUUUGAUGUUGUUGUAGCUGCUGAUGUGGUGUAUUUGGAAGAAACUGUGAAGCCAUUGGUUGAUACAAUGUUGGAAAUGGUUGCUGAUGAUGGCGUCGUUUUAUUGGGUUACCAGUUGAGAUCACCUGAAGCUGAUAAGCUGUUUUGGGAAGUUUGCAGGGAGGUUUUUGAGAUUCAGAUGGUCCCACAUGAGGAUUUGCAUCCUGAUUAUAAUUAUGAGGAGAUUAAUGUUUAUAUUUUCAGGAAAAAGAAGAAAGAUGUUGGAGACCAAAAAACAGAUUGAAGGGUGAGAAUAAUACUUGAAGGACGGAUGAUAUGUUCUUGAAAGAUGUGUCUGAAGAGCUUGAAGGAAAACAACUUUGCUAGAAAUUAUUGGUUUGACCAGGGUUGAUUCAUUGCUGAAUUUCCAGAACUGGAAUUUUCAUGAACCGGUCACAGAACGUACUUGAGAAAACUGAAAAUAGGCCGAGUCUUGCCUGUUUUGUGCCACCGGGUUUCACUGCCAUCCUCAUCUGUGUGGACCUUCCUCCGUUUUCGUGUCCCGGUUGUGUACGCUUUUGAAGGCCGAUGGAAGAAAUGGCGGACUUGUCCAUCUUUUU